CAAGACAUGCUCACCAAGCAUCAAAGUAUCCGCAAACCAACCGAAACUUAGGAAAGACACAAAACAACAACAGAAAACAAAGAAAACACACGAAAAACAAAAACUAAAAACAAACCAACGGUGGGUUGCCUCCCACCAAGCGCUAGAGUUAGAGUCUCCAGCCCGACUUCAGAUCUGACCCUUAGUGAGGAUCGUGCAGAGUGUGAGACUCCACCACCAUGGACGAGCUCUGGUGCUCGUAAUAUUGUAACACCCCGUACUUUUCCCUAUGUUGAGAAAUAGUGUCUUAACACUAAUGAGAGUACUGAGAUGUUGAAAUACGAGACUUUUUUUUUAUGAGCAGAUAAGACAGAUUGUCUUUAAAUAGAGUUAUGAGGGAAUAAACCAAUGAUAGAGUUAGAGUGAAGAGAUUCGAGAAAUGAGUUGAGAUAGAGAUGCUGAUUGAUUUGAGCUGAGAUUUUAUUUUAUUUCCAACUACCGGGAAUAGAGUUACCGGAUACCGAGUUAUCAGAGAUUGACUGACCUAUUAAGAAAAUAGGAAUAAUGAGUUUGACAUAGAGUCGAGGAAGAAAGAGUGAGAACCUUGAUGAAAAGAGUCGGUCAGAGAGACGUCUAGUUUGUUUGUGUUUGCCGACUGCUUUGAUGUGAUGAUAUGUGAAUUUACGUGACUGAUUGAUUAUGCGAUUUCUGUGACGUGUGUCAUUAUGACCAAGUUAUUAUGAUUUUUAUUUGAGACCUUAGCACUUGGAAUUUUGAUUAAGUUUCCAAAGCAAGUGCGGUUUAUUUUUACCAAGAAAUCGAAUGAUGCCGGUUUAUGGAAAUGUUUUUCCAAGCAUAAUUUUUUUUUUGUUAUUUUUCCUACGAAGAGGAAUAUUAUAAUUGAGAGAGUGCACAAGUAUUAGUGCUAUAAUUAUUUUAUUUGAUCACAUAAAUAAUUAUGCUAUGGUAUUUUAUUAAUGAGUAAUAUUUCCAUAAAUUUUGUGAUUAUUAUUUAAUCACCCUUCUCACACUAUUAUUUAAUUUCCCAAGCAUGUGCCUAAAUACCACAAAUUGUCAAGUGAGAGUGUAGAGAUUGAGAGUGUAGAGAUUAGAGAGAGAGACUAAGGCAUUAAUUGCCAAAUAUUUGAUAAGAUUCACAAAUCUUUAAAAGAUUAGCCAAAUCCUCACAAAUCUUGCAAGCCAAUUCUCUCUCUUCUCCACCCCAUUUUCGGUCAUCUCUCUCUCCCCUUCAUCUCUCAUUUCCUCCAUUGUCAACCAUUGGAGAGACCUUCGGAGCUUCCAAAAAUUAUACAAAACACAUCAAUCCACUCCAAAAUCUUGCCUAAACACCUUCAAUCUCCUUGGAUUCAAGAAGAUCAUUGAAGAUUGGCUUCAAGGCUAGAGAGAGAAAGUUUGAUUGUUGGUGUAAAGUUUGGACACGAGCCGAGCAAGGAAGUAAGUAACUCCACUUUGACGGGAGAUUUUGAGUAAGGUCUUCAGGUGAGCAAUAUUUUGAGUAUAUAUUUAUCAUAUGAGCUUUCUAAAAUGAUUUGAUGAUGUUAUGAGAUUAACAAAUGUUUUGAGAUAAAUGAUGUUUGAGAACUGUUUGACUUGCCAAUUUUUUAUGUUGAGCUUGUAUGUUACCCUCUACUGAUGAGAUGAGACGAAUUCGGUCCUGCCACAAGCGAGAUUUUGUGCACAGAGGUGACUGUGAGCCGUCUUCGGGUCGGCCGGUCACGGUACUUGAGAGGGAGGCCUACUUCUCAGUACCUUAAUUAUAAUGAUGAGUUGUAGAUGCGGUACAUACAUGUCGAUUACUUUGUCUGCAGACAUUUAUUUAUGAUGUUGAUUAUGAAAACUGCAUGCACAGAUUCAAUUAUGCUAACUUAUUUCUGUGUAUUGCUGAGAUGUGGCAAGCUUCAAACUUAUAGCUCUAAGAGCACCUUUCUUGUUUUUCGGCGUUUGCCCACUGAGUAUUAUGUACUCACGCCCUGCAUGUAUUUCUAAAUGUGCAGGCUAAGCGGGGAGCGAGAUUGGUCUGGUGCUGGUGGGGAACCGUUUCAAUCGAUGUGAUCAUAUUUAAUAUUGCCGUUAUGAUUGAUAGAGUCUUGAUGAUUAAAAAUACUUCGUUUCCUUUCGAAUCAAGUAAUAUACUCACGGUUAUGUGUCUUCAUACAUAUAAUCGGUUCGCCUUUUGCUGCGAUACUCUGCAUAUUAUGCUUCCUUAUGAAAAAUGAGCUAUACCCAUUUUGUUUUUGUUCGUGAAAUUCCUGAUAAUUAAAAAGUUAUAACUACCAUGACGAUUUUA
Salvia miltiorrhiza (redroot sage) is the source of this 2287-nucleotide long non-coding RNA. RefSeq lists it as uncharacterized. The transcript has 2 exons. NCBI's taxonomy places the organism in Eukaryota, Viridiplantae, Streptophyta, Magnoliopsida, Lamiales, Lamiaceae. The record is from RefSeq and is a predicted model, not a curated record.